This 25-nucleotide small RNA is filed under the name Bombyx mori (domestic silkworm). RNAcentral's name for it is "ovarian small RNA-14354". The record is from RNAcentral. Lineage: Eukaryota; Metazoa; Arthropoda; Insecta; Lepidoptera; Bombycidae.
CGCCCAAACAAUCAAAGGCCGCGAG